GUUUAGCCCAGAUUGAAGUGGCAUCCUUUUUUUGUUUUUUCAAAAAAAGAUAUAGCGUAAAGCUGGAAAUAGC
This 73-nucleotide small RNA is filed under the name Polaribacter reichenbachii. RNAcentral's name for it is "Flavo-1 RNA". It matches the Rfam family "Flavo-1 RNA". Lineage: Bacteria; Pseudomonadati; Bacteroidota; Flavobacteriia; Flavobacteriales; Flavobacteriaceae. The record is from Rfam by way of RNAcentral.